RNAcentral lists this ribosomal RNA (88 nucleotides) under Citrobacter freundii. Lineage: Bacteria; Pseudomonadati; Pseudomonadota; Gammaproteobacteria; Enterobacterales; Enterobacteriaceae. The record is from RNAcentral. RNAcentral also lists the same sequence under 58 other names.
CUGACCCCAUGCCGAACUCAGAAGUGAAACGCCGUAGCGCCGAUGGUAGUGUGGGGUCUCCCCAUGUGAGAGUAGGGAACUGCCAGGC